RNAcentral lists this ribosomal RNA (572 nucleotides) under uncultured Bifidobacterium sp. RNAcentral's name for it is "bacterial SSU rRNA". It matches the Rfam family "Bacterial small subunit ribosomal RNA", at positions 136 to 720 of the family's 1533-position model. Lineage: Bacteria; Bacillati; Actinomycetota; Actinomycetes; Bifidobacteriales; Bifidobacteriaceae. The record is from RNAcentral.
CACUAGUGAUUCUCCUGGAAACGGGUGGUAAUGCCGGAUGCUCCGGUUGGAUGCAUGUCCUUCCGGGAAAGAUUUCAUCGGUAUGGGAUGGGGUCGCGUCCUAUCAGGUAGUCGGCGGGGUAACGGCCCACCGAGCCUACGACGGGUAGCCGGCCUGAGAGGGCGACCGGCCACAUUGGGACUGAGAUACGGCCCAGACUCCUACGGGAGGCAGCAGUGGGGAAUAUUGCACAAUGGGCGCAAGCCUGAUGCAGCGACGCCGCGUGCGGGAUGACGGCCUUCGGGUUGUAAACCGCUUUUGAUCGGGAGCAAGCCUUCGGGUGAGUGUACCUUUCGAAUAAGCACCGGCUAACUACGUGCCAGCAGCCGCGGUAAUACGUAGGGUGCAAGCGUUAUCCGGAAUUAUUGGGCGUAAAGGGCUCGUAGGCGGUUCGUCGCGUCCGGUGUGAAAGUCCAUCGCUUAACGGUGGAUCCGCGCCGGGUACGGGCGGGCUUGAGUGCGGUAGGGGAGACUGGAAUUCCCGGUGUAACGGUGGAAUGUGUAGAUAUCGGGAAGAACACCAAUCGAAUUU